RNAcentral lists this ribosomal RNA (253 nucleotides) under uncultured bacterium. Its description in RNAcentral is "partial 16S ribosomal RNA". It matches the Rfam family "Bacterial small subunit ribosomal RNA", at positions 524 to 776 of the family's 1533-position model. The record is from RNAcentral.
UACAGAGGGGGCAAGCGUUAUUCGGAAUUAUUGGGCGUAAAGGGCGCGUAGGCGGCCUGGCAAGUGGAAGGUGAAAUCCCUCGGCUUAACCGAGGAACUGCCCUCCAAACUGCUUGGCUUGAGUCCGGGAGAGGUGAGUGGAAUUCCCAGUGUAGCGGUGAAAUGCGUAGAUAUUGGGAGGAACACCAGUGGCGAAGGCGGCUCACUGGACCGGAACUGACGCUGAAAAACGAAAGCCAGGGGAGCAAACGGG